Molecule: ribosomal RNA, 895 nt
Filed under: uncultured bacterium
Lineage: Bacteria
Description: bacterial SSU rRNA
Rfam family: Bacterial small subunit ribosomal RNA
Source: RNAcentral
UUCGAUUAGAGUUUGAUCCUGGCUCAGAAUGAACGCUGGCGGCGUGCCUAACACAUGCAAGUCGAGCGGUAAGGCCCCUUCGGGGGUACACGAGCAGCGAACGGGUGAGUAACGCGUGGGUAACCUACCCAGAAGUUGGGGAUAGCCUCGGGAAACCGGGGGUAAUACCGGAUGUGUCCCAGACGACAUAAGUCGAUUGGGAGAAAGGCGGGGAUCUUCGGACUUGUCGCUUCUGGAUGGGCCCGCGUCCGAUUAGCUUGUUGGUGAGGUAAUGGCUCACCAAGACAUCUAUCGGUAGCCGGCCUGAGAGGGUGAACGGCCACAUUGGGACUGAGACACGGCCCAGACUCCUACGGGAGGCAGCAGUGGGGAAUUUUGGGCAAUGGGCGCAAGCCUGACCCAGCGACGCCGCGUGGAGGAUGAAGGCCUUCGGGUUGUAAACUCCUGUCAGGUGGGAAGAAAUGCCCGUCGGUGAAUAUCCGACGGGAGCUGACGGUACCACCAAAGGAAGCCCCGGCUAACUCCGUGCCAGCAGCCGCGGUAAUACGGAGGGGGCAAGCGUUAUUCGGAUUUACUGGGCGUAAAGCGCACGUAGGCGGCCAGGCAUGUCGACGGUGAAAGCCCUCGCCUCAACCGAGGAAUUGCCUUCGAAACUGCCUGGCUUGAGUCCGGGAGGGGGGAGCGGAAUUCCCAAUGUAGCGGUGAAAUGCGUAGAUAUUGGGAGGAACACCAGUGGCGAAAGCGGCUCCCUGGACCGGUACUGACGCUGAGGUGCGAAAGCGUGGGUAGCAAACAGGAUUAGAUACCCUGGUAGUCCACGCCGUAACGAUGGGCACUAGGUGCAGCGGGUGUCGACCCCUGCUGUGCCGAAGUUAACGCAUUAAGUGCCCCGCCU